Rattus norvegicus (Norway rat) is the source of this 5598-nucleotide long non-coding RNA. RefSeq annotates it as histone H3.v1-like. NCBI's taxonomy places the organism in Eukaryota, Metazoa, Chordata, Mammalia, Rodentia, Muridae. The record is from RefSeq and is a predicted model, not a curated record.
AAUGCCAAUAACCUUCUGAAUACCUAGUAUGGCUUCGUUAUAGGCAGAGUAGUUUUGCUUUAUGUAAUUUCAUUAACACAAACUUACAGAUGAUUAUUUUUAUAGUUUAAUUCUUAGGAAACCUUAUGAAACCAACAUCUGUUUUGCUUAAUUAGGAAGCCAAAGCAUAGAGGCAGCAGACCUUUUUGUCCUCUAAAGCUGCAAAGCAUUCUGCCCUUGACUGCUUUGGGGCAGCUUACAUUAAAAGCCUACACUGGGAGUGACUUCAAGUCAGUCGCUCCAGCCUGAGCAGAGACCCAGGGAAAGCAUUUAUAAAUGAAGGAGUGAGUCAGUACUGCCUUCUGUGCUGUGAACUUGUUUAGGCUGGAGAAGCAUUUGUUUCCAUGACAACUUUAAGGCUCAAAAAAACAGGGUGCUGCAACUUGAUUUCCUCAGUCCUGUGAAAUUCAGGCCUCUGCUUGAUUAGGGGUCUGUCUCUCUCUCACCUUUCUGUGCAACAAGAGAAAGAACUAAACCAACGAUUAUAUAAAGUCUGCCUACUCUGCUCAUCUCCAUGGAUGUGCUCCAUUUUAAACAUUAAGCUUACAUAUCAUCAAGAAGAUGGGGAAGAAGAAGAUGAAGAAAAGGAAGAAGAAGAUGAGGAUGAGGAGAAAGAGAAGGAAGAGAUAGAAAAGGAAGAAGAGGAGAGGGAGAAAGAAGAAGAGGAUGAGGAGGAGGAGAAAGAGAAGGAAGAGAUAGAAAAGGAAGAAGAGGAGAGGGAGAAAGAAGAAGAGGAGGAGGAGGAAGAGGAGGAGGAGGAAACGACUCAAUAACUCAAGGGUCUCCAGUGCUACUGAUUUCCUCAGGGAUACAGAGUGAACAUAUUUCUCAUGCAUGGGGUCCUGCUCGUUGAUCAUUUCAGACACCUUAUUAUCAACAUCUUCAGGAAUUGGGCCCUCUCCCGCCUGCCUUCUCUCUCAAGGUGUCCUGGAACCUGUCAGAUUAAUUUUCACUACAGGCCUGAAUGACAAGUCUCCCAACUCCAUCACAGGGAGGUAUAAACAGACUUGAACCUACCCAAGGGUAGAGUUCAUUGGACCACGGUGGAUGGUAUUUCAGUUUUCAGGGUUGGGAGCGGCUAUAGAGCACAGUCAUCCUAAAAUCUCUAUUGUUUAACUCUCAAAUACCAUCAGCUGGAGCUUCAUAAACUAAAGUGUGGGGAAGGGGAACGUGGAUAGUGUGAAGUGUUCUUAUAUUCUGGUCUCAUGUAUUAGACCGAGGUUCUUUCACUCAUGGAGAGACUUCAAGGGGCUGACAUAGCCCCAGAUGUAGCCCUUUCUUUCUGGCCUGUGCUAAAAAGGGAGGCCAAGUUUUCACAUUCCCUGUCAGAGUACCACUCUCACCAAUUUAAAAGUUUGGAAUGGAGAAAUAGAAGAAGUAUUUCUGUAACAUGCAUCACCAGAACUGACUGAGCAAUUAACAUUUAAGCAUUUAAGUCAAUAUCUGGGCAAUUUAUAAGGAAACAGAGACAUCAGAGCCUUGAAUUCAAAUAUUACCUUUCUUAUUUUAAGCAGUAGUGUAAUGUUAAGCAAAUCACUGAACCUUAUAUACUCAAGCUUAUGGAAAUACACAGCAAAGGACAAACACCUAUGCUCAAAGGGCCCUAUAAAAUGACGUGAAAGCUUCCAGUUGUGAGUCUGUGCUCAAUAUUUAAUAAUCGAUUUAGACUAUUACUUGCUAACUGGAGCAUCAACAAGGCAUUUGAUUAUGUUAUUGAUGACUGUUUACUGACUAGUAAGAUGAUGUGGUGUAUAAAGUUCAUUUUCCCCAAGAAUUCAUGAAAUAUGGAAGAAAGAAUCCAAGAACAUUUGAUAUGAAUGUUCUGAAUCCUUAGUUCCAAAUUGUAGUGGAUUUUGGAAUAAGUAACAGAAUGUUCAUACUUCACAGUGUUAGGUUGCUGGCCAACCUUUCAACGUUUCCUGGUAUUGGGCUUGUUAUUCUGUUUGUCAUUUUUUUUCCCCUCCAGAAAACCAGAUGGGAGACACAGGCUUCAUUUUGACAGAAGAAACCCUCGAGUUAGGCAACCUUUCCCCUCACACCUCCCAUGUGAUUUUCAGGCUUCCUUUGUCACCUAUGAACAGGGCAGACCGAGAGGACACACUGCUCCCAUCCUCACCCAGGCGAGCACCCUGAGUUCAGAACAUAAGCAAGGUUCCAUGUAUGAAAACAAGAUGAAGUUGAAUAUUAAGUGUAACAUUAUUUGGGAUUUAUCUCCCAAGUACCUCAGGCAUGGCUGCCUUUUCUGAGAAUUCAGAAAUGAAGAAUCAGCUUGAUUCCAGCCCUUGGAAACUUAUGUAAGGCAGAGAGGGUAGGUAAUGAGGUGCAUUCAUUUGGCUACUUGGUCAUUCAGCAAAUGUUGGGCACUUAUGAAACAAUGACGGUCUGGGUGCCUGAGAUACAUAAGGAAAGAAAACCAUUAAAAAUCGUGGCCUAACAGAAUUUACAUUUUAAUGAGAGGAGAUAGGCAAAACAGUACACACACACACACACACACACACACACACACACACACACACCACACACACACACACACACCACACACACACACACCACAAAAGUAGGCAAAAGGUGAGAAAAUUAUAAGUUUGUAAUUGCUGUGAAAAGGAUGAAGAUAGAAGAGGAAGCUUGGGUCAGCACUAGGGGGGUGACGGCAUGGUGGCAGUGACACUUCCAUUUUAGAUUAAGGUCAAGCUGUGACUUCCUUGAUGUCAUAGUCAAGGCUUGAAAGAGGCACAGGAAUGGGUCAUGUGGGCAUCUGAGGAGACAGUGUCCUGAUGAAGCAGAGCAGUCAGGACCUGGAUACAGUUCCAACUGAACCCAGCAGACUAUGUCAGAAGAGCAUAAGUGAAAAGCAGGAACUCCUCUUGGAUGCUCACUAAGAACCUUUGAGGGAAGGGACCGCUAUCCUUUCUCGGCAGAAAAGUGAUCGCAGGUCUUCUAGCCCUACUCUACAAGGUGGUCAGCCUCAGGCAUGGAACUCCAUGGGGAGAGUCUGCAGUGAGAGUGACCUUACAUUCCUGAGGACUUGGCCCUUUUCUCUUGGACACUUGCAGUCUUCCCCACUCAUAUGGGCUUGGCCAUCAAACACCCCCUUUCGUUUACUCAGAUACCUUGCCACAACUUGAACAGCUAUUGUAGACUUCUUUUAUUCUAUUAGUCAAUAUUUUUUAACAUUGUGAAGAAGUAGAAGCACUGAUGCUUUAUAAAUAGGGUUUAUAUAUACAUCUAUCUAUUAUAUGUGUGUUUAAAUCAUUCAGCAAUUUUCAGUCAAUUCAGACACUCAUAACUUUCUGUAGAAACCUUCCUGCAUCUGGCUGUCCAGGGAACACAGUUUCUUCCCCACUCUUGGUGAAAGUGCCAUUCUGCACGUUAAUUUACUAUUGCUGUUCUGGCCUCCACUUCAGUUCCCCUGCCUGCCGAUGUUUUUUCCUUUUAGAAUCUUCUCUUAGGGGUUUGAGGAGCAGUUCCACUCAUCCUGUAGUCUUCCGCAAAAGGAAGGGGUGAAUUUAAUUUAAGUCAGAGCCCAACCAGUAUGACCUUGGGAAAAUUACUUCAUUUCCUUGGGUCUCCUGUGGGUCCCUUCUCUUUAAGUGGGAGUAAAAGAUGCCAGUAUUUUUACAUUCAUUUUCCUACUCUUGUUUGCUUUAACACCUGAAGUGAGGUCGUUUAACCAUCAAUAUCAUCUUAUGAUUUAACUGAGAGAAUUUUGCUGUUUUUGGUAACACAUAAGAUGAAUACAACUAUCGGGGACAACCUCCAUUCAGUGAUCAUGGGAGAGAUCCUCUCUUAGGUUAUAAUGCUUAAUGCGUGCUUGUGCGCACACACACACACACACACACACACACACACACACACAUGCAUGCUGCUCUUGUGCUUAUAAGAUAAGGUGGCUUAUCACUUAGUCACUUCAUUAUAUCUUCUUCAUGUACUUAUAUUUCUUAUACUUAAUUUUUGGAAGCCGCUAGACUCUAGACUCUUUUCCCAGUGACUUCAAAAGUGCUGAAGAGUUGAGAGGCCCAAACAGGUGGUCUGAGUUUUGCUCAGUAAGAGCUUUAUGUAUCUACUCUAGUCAACUGGAUGCAAUUUUUAUAGGAAAUGUCUCCAGCUUUCCAAAUAACUCAGAAAUUUAAAGAGAAACAAAGACUAAUAAAAUUCAGAAAAUUAGUGUCUAUACAUUUAUAAUUUAUGUAAACAUCAUUAGUAUGUUCCCAGUAGCAGACUAUUUUAACUUUAGUACUGAUAGGGUGAAAUCAUGUCCCCAGAGUCAGUCAUCCACCCAUUCUUUUAGUAAUACAUUGACCACUAUGCAUUCUGGAACAGAGUAAUGGAAAAUGGCAGUAGAGACUGGAAGUUCUUCCCAGUUCUGCUGCUCACCUGCUCUGGAGCUGUGGCAAAGGCCUUUAAAAUUCUGUUUCCUGUUCUCUCAAUUACAAGUUAAUUCUUUAUACUAGACAAUGCUGGUGCUGAGGAACUCGGGUAGUAUUCACACCAGGAACUUGGUGUACAGACACAUGGUACAGCUGCAAGAAUAGUAUGGACAGGUCCAGGCAACUGUGCUAAAACUCAGCUGUUGGAGAACAGAACAAUGAUUCAUUCCUAGUUUUUAUUGUUUAAAUAUUGAUUCAUGUAACAGCUCUCUGGUUCCUAUGAAAUGCCAGAUCUGGGGCUCAUGAUUCUAGUAGCAGUAAAAGCCAGGGGAACUCAGGGCAGAACAAAGGAUGAUGUUUUCUUUCCAUGGGAGAAAGGAAUCAGACCACCCAGUGUUGUGGCUGUGAAGGCAGCUAAUGUAAUUUUUAGAUGCUGGAAGCCACAUGAUCAUGCUUUCAAAGUUAUCCAGCUAACACCCACGAAGUGUCGAGUAUAAUGCCAGGUGUUGGGGGGCAAUAUGGAGGUGAAUAAAAAAACCACAAAAACCAAUGCCAUUAUGAAUUUUACGGGGUUGGCAGUUGCAGAAAAAUAAUUAUCAGUAUGAUGCUUCAUAAAAAACAAAUGGAUAAAGAUUGUAUGAAUAUAUGUGUGUGUGUGUGUGUGUGUGUGUGUGUGUGUGUGCCAGAGAGAAAUGAACCCCACUCUAGGUGAGGCAAUGUGGGUUGGUGUGACUCAAGUUCACAUGGCCAGGACUAGUGGAGGUUCAGAUACUUGCUUUGGCACUCUCUACAUAAUUUAUGUGCAAGUCUCAAAGUUUUAGUGCCAGAAUAAACCACUGCCUUUUCUUCAAAAAAACAUUUCUAGAAACAACAUCUGAAAUGCUGACUGAACAGAGGGAAAGAUAACUUCUGGCCUGUUUUCACUUCUAGUGCUCAGAAACCGUAAGGCCCCCUACAAUUAAUUCUGGCUGUUAUUAAAUCAAAGCUAAAAACUUUCAUGCCAGAGACUCCGCUUCCAGAUACUUGAAGUGAUGAACCUUUCUUUUAUUGAUGCCAUCCCAUCUCCAAGCCCAUUUGGAAUCCCAAAGAUGUCUAUUGGUUUUUAAAAUAAAAACCCAAGAGAAAGUCUACUUGAAAUGGUUUUUGAAGAAUUCGACAAGGGCUUCAUGAGGCCGCUGGAGAAAUGCUGGGU